This 680-nucleotide ribosomal RNA is filed under the name permafrost bacterium DT-IV20. RNAcentral describes it as "bacterial SSU rRNA". It matches the Rfam family "Bacterial small subunit ribosomal RNA", at positions 803 to 1480 of the family's 1533-position model. The record is from RNAcentral.
UAAACGUUGGCAUUAGGUGUGGGGACAUUCCACGUUUUCCGCGCCGUAGCUAACGCAUUAAGUGCCCCGCCUGGGGAGUACGGCCGCAAGGCUAAAACUCAAAGGAAUUGACGGGGGCCCGCACAAGCGGCGGAGCAUGCGGAUUAAUUCGAUGCAACGCGAAGAACCUUACCAAGGCUUGACAUUCACCGGACCGCCCCAGAGAUGGGGUUUCCCUUCGGGGCUGGUGGACAGGUGGUGCAUGGUUGUCGUCAGCUCGUGUCGUGAGAUGUUGGGUUAAGUCCCGCAACGAGCGCAACCCUCGUUCUAUGUUGCCAGCACGUGAUGGUGGGGACUCAUAGGAGACUGCCGGGGUCAACUCGGAGGAAGGUGGGGAUGACGUCAAAUCAUCAUGCCCCUUAUGUCUUGGGCUUCACGCAUGCUACAAUGGCCGGUACAAAGGGUUGCGAUACUGUGAGGUGGAGCUAAUCCCAAAAAGCCGGUCUCAGUUCGGAUUGAGGUCUGCAACUCGACCUCAUGAAGUCGGAGUCGCUAGUAAUCGCAGAUCAGCAACGCUGCGGUGAAUACGUUCCCGGGCCUUGUACACACCGCCCGUCAAGUCACGAAAGUUGGUAACACCCGAAGCCGGUGGCCUAACCCCUUGUGGGAGGGAGCCGUCGAAGGUGGACUGGCGAUUGAUA